This is a long non-coding RNA of Ailuropoda melanoleuca (giant panda), 292 nucleotides long. RefSeq lists it as uncharacterized. The transcript is spliced from 3 exons. The record is from RefSeq and is a predicted model, not a curated record. Lineage: Eukaryota; Metazoa; Chordata; Mammalia; Carnivora; Ursidae.
GUAAACUGUAACUGGCCUAAACUGAUCGAUGCAAUUCAAUUUCUUUUCAGUAAUUGUUUUAGACAGAGAGGCUGAAACUCCUACAUAUAUCAGGGGAUCGUGAGGGUGAAGCUUGAGGAAAACACUGAAAACAUUGUAAGAACUUGUUUGUCAUGAGAUGCUGAAUUACACAAUCCUGGAACUGUCAAAAUGUAAAACUUUUUGUAAAUGAGGACGUUUGUCCCUGAGCCACAGCCACUGUGAUAUGAGAAAACCAAGCAGCCACAUGGAAAGACCACAUGCCCAAACUGAG